UUUAAAUGAAGACCAGAACAAAAGAUUAAACGUUUAAAUUAAUAUCUUUAAUUAAAAUAUUCAAACUUUUUCUAAAUGUAAAAAAACAUUUAUUAAAAAGAAAGACGACAAGACCCUAUUGAACUUAACUAUAGUUAAACUGGGGCAGUUAAUUAAUAAUUAUUUUAAUUUACUUAAUAUAAAAAAUACCCAAUAUAAUUGAUUUAUAAUCCAGUUACCAUAGGGAUAACAGCGUAAUAAUUUUCUAAAGCUCUUAUAUAAAUAAUAGUUUACGACCUCGAUGUUGAAUUAAUAACCUAAUUUUAGCAAAAAAAAAUAAAGGAAGUCUGUUCGACUUUUAAAAAAUUACAUGAUUUGAGUUCAGACCGGUAUAAGCCAGGUCGGUUUCUAUCUUCUCAUAACUUCUUACAGUACGAAAGGGCCUAAGAAAAUAAUUAUAUUAAAUAAUUUAAUUGGCAGAAAAUUGCAUUAGAAUUAGAAUCUAAUAAAACUUCAAUCUCAUUUAUAUUAUCUUUCUUAGUUAUUACUUUAAGA
RNAcentral lists this ribosomal RNA (534 nucleotides) under Selenops geraldinae. RNAcentral describes it as "partial 16S ribosomal RNA". The stretch from base 99 to 396 matches the Rfam family "Bacterial large subunit ribosomal RNA", at positions 2074 to 2646 of the family's 2925-position model. Lineage: Eukaryota; Metazoa; Arthropoda; Arachnida; Araneae; Selenopidae. The record is from RNAcentral.